RNAcentral lists this ribosomal RNA (301 nucleotides) under uncultured bacterium. RNAcentral describes it as "partial 16S ribosomal RNA". It matches the Rfam family "Bacterial small subunit ribosomal RNA", at positions 509 to 808 of the family's 1533-position model. The record is from RNAcentral.
CAGUCGCCGCGGUAAUACGUAGGUGGCGAGCGUUAUCCGGAAUUAUUGGGCGUAAAGGGUGCGUAGGCGGCCUGUUAAGUAAGUGGUUAAAUUGUUGGGCUCAACCCAAUCCAGCCACUUAAACUGGCAGGCUAGAGUAUUGGAGAGGCAAGUGGAAUUCCAUGUGUAGCGGUAAAAUGCGUAGAUAUAUGGAGGAACACCAGUGGCGAAGGCGGCUUGCUAGCCAAAGACUGACGCUCAUGCUCGAAAGCGUGGGGAGCAAAUAGGAUUAGAGACCCCCGUAGUCCCUGUCUCUUAUACA